GGUUAAGCGACUAAGCGUACACGGUGGAUGCCCUGGCAGUCAGAGGCGAUGAAGGACGUGCUAAUCUGCGAUAAGCGUCGGUAAGGUGAUAUGAACCGUUAUAACCGGCGAUUUCCGAAUGGGGAAACCCAGUGUGUUUCGACACACUAUCAUUAACUGAAUCCAUAGGUUAAUGAGGCGAACCGGGGGAACUGAAACAUCUAAGUACCCCGAGGAAAAGAAAUCAACCGAGAUUCCCCCAGUAGCGGCGAGCGAACGGGGAGCAGCCCAGAGCCUGAAUCAGUGUGUGUGUUAGUGGAAGCGUCUGGAAAGGCGCGCGAUACAGGGUGACAGCCCCGUACACAAAAAUGCACAUGCUGUGAGCUCGAUGAGUAGGGCGGGACACGUGGUAUCCUGUCUGAAUAUGGGGGGACCAUCCUCCAAGGCUAAAUACUCCUGACUGACCGAUAGUGAACCAGUACCGUGAGGGAAAGGCGAAAAGAACCCCGGCGAGGGGAGUGAAAAAGAACCUGAAACCGUGUACGUACAAGCAGUGGGAGCACGCUUAGGCGUGUGACUGCGUACCUUUGUAUAAUGGGUCAGCGACUUAUAUUCUGUAGCAAGGUUAACCGAAUAGGGGAGCCGAAGGGAAACCGAGUCUUAACUGGGCGUUAAGUUGCAGGGUAUAGACCCGAAACCCGGUGAUCUAGCCAUGGGCAGGUUGAAGGUUGGGUAACACUAACUGGAGGACCGAACCGACUAAUGUUGAAAAAUUAGCGGAUGACUUGUGGCUGGGGGUGAAAGGCCAAUCAAACCGGGAGAUAGCUGGUUCUCCCCGAAAGCUAUUUAGGUAGCGCCUCGUGAAUUCAUCUCUGGGGGUAGAGCACUGUUUCGGCAAGGGGGUCAUCCCGACUUACCAACCCGAUGCAAACUGCGAAUACCGGAGAAUGUUAUCACGGGAGACACACGGCGGGUGCUAACGUCCGUCGUGAAGAGGGAAACAACCCAGACCGCCAGCUAAGGUCCCAAAGUCAUGGUUAAGUGGGAAACGAUGUGGGAAGGCCCAGACAGCCAGGAUGUUGGCUUAGAAGCAGCCAUCAUUUAAAGAAAGCGUAAUAGCUCACUGGUCGAGUCGGCCUGCGCGGAAGAUGUAACGGGGCUAAACCAUGCACCGAAGCUGCGGCAGCGACGCUUAUGCGUUGUUGGGUAGGGGAGCGUUCUGUAAGCCUGCGAAGGUGUGCUGUGAGGCAUGCUGGAGGUAUCAGAAGUGCGAAUGCUGACAUAAGUAACGAUAAAGCGGGUGAAAAGCCCGCUCGCCGGAAGACCAAGGGUUCCUGUCCAACGUUAAUCGGGGCAGGGUGAGUCGACCCCUAAGGCGAGGCCGAAAGGCGUAGUCGAUGGGAAACAGGUUAAUAUUCCUGUACUUGGUGUUACUGCGAAGGGGGACGGAGAAGGCUAUGUUGGCCGGGCGACGGUUGUCCCGGUUUAAGCGUGUAGGCUGGUUUUCCAGGCAAAUCCGGAAAAUCAAGGCUGAGGCGUGAUGACGAGGCACUACGGUGCUGAAGCAACAAAUGCCCUGCUUCCAGGAAAAGCCUCUAAGCAUCAGGUAACAUCAAAUCGUACCCCAAACCGACACAGGUGGUCAGGUAGAGAAUACCAAGGCGCUUGAGAGAACUCGGGUGAAGGAACUAGGCAAAAUGGUGCCGUAACUUCGGGAGAAGGCACGCUGAUAUGUAGGUGAAGUCCCUUGCGGAUGGAGCUGAAAUCAGUCGAAGAUACCAGCUGGCUGCAACUGUUUAUUAAAAACACAGCACUGUGCAAACACGAAAGUGGACGUAUACGGUGUGACGCCUGCCCGGUGCCGGAAGGUUAAUUGAUGGGGUCAGCGCAAGCGAAGCUCUUGAUCGAAGCCCCGGUAAACGGCGGCCGUAACUAUAACGGUCCUAAGGUAGCGAAAUUCCUUGUCGGGUAAGUUCCGACCUGCACGAAUGGCGUAAUGAUGGCCGGGCUGUCUCCACCCGAGACUCAGUGAAAUUGAACUCGCUGUGAAGAUGCAGUGUACCCGCGGCAAGACGGAAAGACCCCGUGAACCUUUACUAUAGCUUGACACUGAACAUUGAGCCUUGAUGUGUAGGAUAGGUGGGAGGCUUUGAAGUGUGGACGCCAGUCUGCAUGGAGCCGACCUUGAAAUACCACCCUUUAAUGUUUGAUGUUCUAACGUUGACCCGUAAUCCGGGUUGCGGACAGUGUCUGGUGGGUAGUUUGACUGGGGCGGUCUCCUCCUAAAGAGUAACGGAGGAGCACGAAGGUUGGCUAAUCCUGGUCGGACAUCAGGAGGUUAGUGCAAUGGCAUAAGCCAGCUUGACUGCGAGCGUGACGGCGCGAGCAGGUGCGAAAGCAGGUCAUAGUGAUCCGGUGGUUCUGAAUGGAAGGGCCAUCGCUCAACGGAUAAAAGGUACUCCGGGGAUAACAGGCUGAUACCGCCCAAGAGUUCAUAUCGACGGCGGUGUUUGGCACCUCGAUGUCGGCUCAUCACAUCCUGGGGCUGAAGUAGGUCCCAAGGGUAUGGCUGUUCGCCAUUUAAAGUGGUACGCGAGCUGGGUUUAGAACGUCGUGAGACAGUUCGGUCCCUAUCUCGCCGUGGGCGCUGGAGAAUUGAGGGGGCUGCUCCUAGUACGAGAGGACCGGAGUGGACGCAUCACUGGUGUUCGGGUUGUCAUGCCAAUGGCACUGCCCGGUAGCUAAAUGCGGAAGAGAUAAGUGCUGAAAGCAUCUAAGCACGAAACUUGCCCCGAGAUGAGUUCUCCCUGACUCCUUGAGAGUCCUGAAGGAACGUUGAAGACGACGACGUUGAUAGGCCGGGUGUGUAAGCGCAGCGAUGCGUUGAGCUAACCGGUACUAAUGAACCGUGAGGCUUAACCUU
Molecule: ribosomal RNA, 2902 nt
Filed under: Escherichia coli
Lineage: Bacteria; Pseudomonadati; Pseudomonadota; Gammaproteobacteria; Enterobacterales; Enterobacteriaceae
Description: 23S ribosomal RNA
Rfam family: Bacterial large subunit ribosomal RNA
Source: RNAcentral